CCUACGGGAGGCAGCAGUGGGGAAUAUUGGGAAAUGGGCGCAAGCCUGACCCAGCAACGCCGCGUGAAGGAAGAAGGCUUUCGGGUUGUAAACCUCUUUUCUGAGGGACGAAGAAAGUGACGGUACCUCAGGAAUAAGCCACGGAUAACUACGUACCAGCAGCCGCGGUAAUACGGAGGUGGCAAGCGUUAUCCGGAUUUAUUGGGUGUAAAGGGCGCGUAGGCGGGAAAGUAAGUCAGAUGUGAAAGCCCCGGGCUCAACCAUGGGCCUGCAUUUGAAACUGGUUUUCUUGAGUGCUGGAGAGGAGAUCGGAAUUCCUGGUGUAGCGGUGAAAUGCGUAGAUAUACGGAAGAACACCAGUGGCGAAGGCGGAUUGCUGGACAGUAACUGACGCUGAGGCGCGAAAGCGUGGGGAGCAAACAGGAUUAGAUACCCUUGUAGUC
Molecule: ribosomal RNA, 443 nt
Filed under: uncultured bacterium
Lineage: Bacteria
Description: partial 16S ribosomal RNA
Rfam family: Bacterial small subunit ribosomal RNA
Source: RNAcentral